UACGUAGGGUGCGAGCGUUAUCCGGAAUUAUUGGGCGUAAAGAGCUCGUAGGCGGUUUGUCGCGUCUGCUGUGAAAACUGGGGGCUCAACCCCCCAGCCUGCAGUGGGUACGGGCAGACUAGAGUGCGGUAGGGGAGAUUGGAAUUCCUGGUGUAGCGGUGGAAUGCGCAGAUAUCAGGAGGAACACCGAUGGCGAAGGCAGAUCUCUGGGCCGUAACUGACGCUGAGGAGCGAAAGCAUGGGGAGCGAACAGG
This 254-nucleotide ribosomal RNA is filed under the name uncultured bacterium. Its description in RNAcentral is "partial 16S ribosomal RNA". It matches the Rfam family "Bacterial small subunit ribosomal RNA", at positions 524 to 776 of the family's 1533-position model. The record is from RNAcentral.